RNAcentral lists this ribosomal RNA (301 nucleotides) under uncultured bacterium. Its description in RNAcentral is "partial 16S ribosomal RNA". It matches the Rfam family "Bacterial small subunit ribosomal RNA", at positions 509 to 809 of the family's 1533-position model. The record is from RNAcentral.
CAGUAGCCGCGGGAAUACGGAGGGGGCUAGCGUUGUUCGGAAUUACUGGGCGUAAAGCGUACGUAGGCGGCUUCGUAAGUUAGAGGUGAAAGCCCGGGGCUCAACCCCGGAAUUGCCUUUAAGACUGCAUCGCUUGAAUCGCGGAGAGGUGAGUGGAAUUCCGAGUGUAGAGGUGAAAUUCGUAGAUAUUCGGAAGAACACCAGUGGCGAAGGCGGCUCACUGGACCGUUGUUGACGCUGAGGUGCGAAAGCGUGGGGAGCAAACAGGAUUAGAUACCCCCGUAGUCCCUGUCUCUUAUAA